Molecule: long non-coding RNA, 1357 nt
Organism: Daucus carota subsp. sativus
Lineage: Eukaryota; Viridiplantae; Streptophyta; Magnoliopsida; Apiales; Apiaceae
Exons: 2
Source: RefSeq, a predicted model, not a curated record
CCUGGAAAAUGCAAUCACAUCUUUAUACUUGUGUCAAGAUAUAAACCACAGAUUAAAUGAAAGGCUAGCACAAAAUGUAAGCAACUUGAGCUAAAGUUUGUAUCCAUUAUGGUUAUGAAAUCUAUAGGAGCAUUUGGUUUUUAGUUUAUGGUCUCAGUUAACAAGAAUCGAAAUCCUUAUCCUAUGUAUUAGUAUUUGGAUUAGAAAUUUAGUUAUUUCGAAUCUUAUUCCUAUUACAUAAGUAAAUUAUUUCCCAAUCGCGUCUUGAACUUUCAUAUCAUUCUCAUUUCCGUAAACCCACUAAUAUUUAGGAUCAACCUAAUCAAGGAUGCCGUUCUAUUCAGUAAUGUGUUGAUGCACAACAAGGCUGAAAGAAGAGCAGGGACUUGAUAGUAAUUUCGAAAGUUGUUGAUUAUUAAAAUUAUUGGAGAACAGGAAGAAAGUAUGUGGGUAACUAGAAGUGGGUUCUAUGUCAUUUGUCUGGAUUCUUUGCUGGUGUUUAUUGCUGUCAUUGUUGUCAUAUUGUUGUUGUUCCAUGUGUAUAUAAUAUUCUUGCUAAGUAGGACCACAUUGACUGUUUGCUCUUCAUUCUGCUUCUUUUAGGUUCACAUAUUUUUUAUACUUCCGAGUUCUGAAUUGUACAUGAUUAUGAAUUAUGAUACUUCUCUGAGCCACCACAUCAGCUUUAUACUAAAAACUGUACCCCUCACCAACUCAUUUCUAUAAUUCUAUGCAUGUGUGUUGUGCAGGCAGCCAGGCAUGCCCUGUAGUGCUAAUAUGAUUAGGAAUUCAAGCAAUGAAAUUUGUAUUGCUGGAGUGGUUUUGAGAACUUACACUAGCUAGGAGGCACACCAGUGACUGCAUUUGGUUGCGUCCGACCGAGUCUCCGAUGAAUGCCAUGGUUUUCCCUGUGACAGCCUCUAAGAACUGAGAUGCAUUGAAACGAGGUAACUCACAUUCAUCAGGCUUCCAUCUCCACCUCAUAAACUCAGUGUCCGGUCUGCCAAACUUCAUACAAUUCUGUCGUUGAUCGAUUUCGCAAUUAGUUUCAUCGGUGUAGUAAGGCCCGUCGGAACCUAGAACCCAGUCUCCUCGAAACACAUUGCAGACAUGCUCAAUUUCCACGCUUCUUGAACCAUUCUUGAACAUUUCUAGAGCAUGCAGAGGAGACAGAGGACUGUUUCGUAAAUAAAGUGGUAUUAUGGUUAGAAAAAAGACUGAUAGGAUGGGUAAUAUCAACUUUCUGGAGCUUGGAAGCUCCAUAGCAUAGCCCUUCAUCCUCAAAAUUAGUUGAAAGUUUUAAUCAAGAGUUUUCGAGGUAUAUAAAUAUAUAUCAUGUCAAGUGGACGGUUCUUUA